RNAcentral lists this ribosomal RNA (497 nucleotides) under uncultured bacterium. RNAcentral describes it as "partial 16S ribosomal RNA". It matches the Rfam family "Bacterial small subunit ribosomal RNA", at positions 27 to 507 of the family's 1533-position model. The record is from RNAcentral.
GGGGGGGGGGGGGGGGGGGGGGGGUGGGGGGGGGGCGGGCGAGGGGGGGGGGGGGUUGCUCCUCGGGCGUGGGCGGCGGACGGGUGGGGGGCACUGUGGGAAGCUACCUAUCGGACUGGUGUAACUUCGGGAAGCCGGCGCUGAAGCCGGGUAAUAGCUUGGACCGCAUGUUUAACUAGCAAAAGACCGUUUUGCUGUCACUUAUAGCUUGCACCGCGCCGCAUUAGCUAGUUGGUAAGGUAACGGCUUACCAAGGCAACGAUGCGUAGCCGACCUGAGAGGGUGAUCGGCCACACUGGAACUGAGACACGGUCCAGACUCCUACGGGAGGCAGCAGUAGGGAAUCUUCCGCAAUGGGCGAAAGCUUGACGGAGCAACGCCGCGUGAGUGAUGAAGGUCUUCGGAUCGUAAAACUCUGUUAUUAGGGAAGAACAAAUGUGUAAGUAACUAUGCACGUCUUGACGGUACCUAAUCAGAAAGCCACGGCUAACUACGUG